GUCCAGACUCCUACGGGAGGCAGCAGUGAGGAAUAUUGGUCAAUGGGCGGGAGCCUGAACCAGCCAAGUCGCGUGAGGGAAGACGGUCCUACGGAUUGUAAACCUCUUUUGCCGGGGAGCAACGGGGUCCUUGCGAGGGCCCAAUGAGAGUACCCGGAGAAAAAGCAUCGGCUAACUCCGUGCCAGCAGCCGCGGUAAUACGGAGGAUGCGAGCGUUAUCCGGAUUUAUUGGGUUUAAAGGGUGCGCAGGCGGCCUGUUAAGUCGGCGGUAAAAGCCGGGGGCCCAACCCGGGCGAGCCGUUGAAACUGGCGGGCUGGAGUUGGAGAGAAGUACGCGGAAUGCGCGGUGUAGCGGUGAAAUGCUUAGAUAUCGCGCAGAACCCCGAUUGCGAAGGCAGCGUACCGGCUCCACACUGACGCUGAGGCACGAAAGCGUGGGUAUCGAACAGGAUUAGAUACCCCUGUAA
RNAcentral lists this ribosomal RNA (467 nucleotides) under uncultured bacterium. RNAcentral describes it as "bacterial SSU rRNA". It matches the Rfam family "Bacterial small subunit ribosomal RNA", at positions 329 to 793 of the family's 1533-position model. The record is from RNAcentral.